Molecule: unclassified non-coding RNA, 21 nt
Filed under: Chlamydomonas reinhardtii
Lineage: Eukaryota; Viridiplantae; Chlorophyta; Chlorophyceae; Chlamydomonadales; Chlamydomonadaceae
Description: small RNA Cre_3539
Source: RNAcentral
UGUCGCAACCUGACCAUGUCA